CUCUGGUUGGAGAUUCUUCCUUUGUGAAGUCUUCUCAGUGAGCCUAGGUCUUUGGAGAUGGGAAUGCCUCAGGAAUGUAACCUUGAUGUGGAUGAUGUGGAUGCUGUUUUCAAAAGGGAGAUCUUCAAGACCUCUCUUACCACAGAAAAAAGAAUCUUGUGCUUCACAAUUAUGCCUUAUUCAUCUCAUCACUUUUUGAUAGUACAUUCAUGAAGAACUUUUUUCAAGGAUGAUGUAUGUGAAGAAUACAACUAGAUCGAAAAUCUGAAUUCCUUCAGAACUUGCAAGAACUGCAGCCAUUUCUCUUGUACCAGACACUGAUGUAUUAGUUUUGCAGAAACAAGAUAAAAUAGUCCAGUAGUAUGUUUUUGUUGUCCUCUUUUUAAAUGUUUUAAUAAGUUUUACUUAUAUGCAUUACUUUUGGAGCAGCCUUCAUUAAUGCCUCCUAUUUUAUUAUCUAGGCCUGUAAUGUCUGAGGCAGGUGGUGAUGGUUUGGUAGUGGACAUUGGAGUAUUGGUGGGAACAUUCUUUACAUGUUGUGGCUGUGUGACAGAUAGCAGCGGAGGGGUAGUCUGAUAAUGUGGAGUCUGACGUGGAAGCGUGUAUGGGGCAAAGGUGUGCCUUUGAAUUUCUCCAUGCCAGGAAACACUGACAUUCAUUGAUGCUCACUGAAAGAUUGUAGACACCAAACAGUAGAUGUUAGUGCAGUGAGACAG
Non-coding RNA from Meleagris gallopavo (turkey), 716 nucleotides. The record is from RefSeq and is a predicted model, not a curated record. NCBI's taxonomy places the organism in Eukaryota, Metazoa, Chordata, Aves, Galliformes, Phasianidae.